This 497-nucleotide ribosomal RNA is filed under the name uncultured bacterium. RNAcentral's name for it is "partial 16S ribosomal RNA". It matches the Rfam family "Bacterial small subunit ribosomal RNA", at positions 899 to 1397 of the family's 1533-position model. The record is from RNAcentral.
ACUCAAAUGAAUUGACGGGGGCCCGCACAAGCAGUGGAGCAUGUGGUUUAAUUCGAAGCAACGCGAAGAACCUUACCAAGACUUGACAUCCCGCUGACCGCUCUAGAGAUAGAGUUUCCCUUCGGGGCAGCGGUGACAGGUGGUGCAUGGUUGUCGUCAGCUCGUGUCGUGAGAUGUUGGGUUAAGUCCCGCAACGAGCGCAACCCCUAUGUUGUGUUGCCAUCAUUUAGUUGGGCACUUACAACAGACUGCCGGUGACAAACCGGAGGAAGGCGGGGAUGACGUCAAAUCAUCAUGCCCCUUAUGUCUUGGGCUACACACGUGCUACAAUGGGCGGUACAAAGAGACGCGAGACCGCGAGGUGGAGCCAAUCUCAUAAAGCCGUUCGUAGUUCGGAUUGCAGGCUGCAACUCGCCUGCAUGAAGCCGGAAUUGCUAGUAAUCGCGGAUCAGCAUGCCGCGGUGAAUUCGUUCCCGGGCCUUGUACACACCGCCCGU